AAUUUGCAGUUGCAUGAUGAUCAUGUUAAACUGCACUAUACUAUGAAGAAUAUUUUUAUUUUCAUUGUUUUGCAUAUACCCUAUGUGUUAGCAUUUAAAGAGAAAUUAUUGCAUUAUAUAACUGACGAAAUCACAGGAGGUAUGGUGAUGCAGACUUAUAUGCUUCCCAAUCAAUAGCAAAGCCGACUUAUGAGCCUGAUGAAUAUUGUCUUCAAUCUGCUACAUGUGGAGAGGAUACUAUACUUAUUCCUGAUAGUUUUAAGAGACCAGUUAGUAU
Hylaeus anthracinus is the source of this 277-nucleotide long non-coding RNA. RefSeq lists it as uncharacterized. The record is from RefSeq and is a predicted model, not a curated record. The transcript is spliced from 4 exons. NCBI's taxonomy places the organism in Eukaryota, Metazoa, Arthropoda, Insecta, Hymenoptera, Colletidae.